GAUUAACGCUGGUGGCGUGCAUAACACAUGCAAGUCGAACGAUGAAACUCAUUAGAUUUCUUCGGAAUGAAAAUGAAUGGAUUAGUGGCGAACGGGUGAGUAACGCGUGAGUAACCUGCCUUACACAAGGGGAUAGCCUCUGGAAACGGAGAAUAAUACCCUAUGAAACCAGACAAUCGCAUGAUAAUCUGGUCAAAAUGUUUAGUGGUGUAAGAUGGACUUGCGUCUGAUUAGCUAGUUGGUGAGAUAAAAGCUCACCAAGGCAACGAUCAGUAGCCGGCGUGAGAGAGUGUACGGCCACAUUGGGACUGAGACACGGCCCAGACUCCUACGGGAGGCAGCAGUGGGGAAUUUUGCACAAUGGGGGAAACCCUGAUGCAGCGACGCCGCGUGAUUUAGAAGGCCUUCGGGUUGUAAAAAUCUUUUGUAUAGGAAGAAAAUGACAGUACUAUACGAAUAAGGUCCGGCUAAUUACGUG
This 478-nucleotide ribosomal RNA is filed under the name uncultured bacterium. Its description in RNAcentral is "partial 16S ribosomal RNA". It matches the Rfam family "Bacterial small subunit ribosomal RNA", at positions 28 to 507 of the family's 1533-position model. The record is from RNAcentral.